This 219-nucleotide long non-coding RNA is filed under the name Elaeis guineensis (African oil palm). RNAcentral describes it as "long non-coding RNA (EGUI_LNC051701)". Lineage: Eukaryota; Viridiplantae; Streptophyta; Magnoliopsida; Arecales; Arecaceae. The record is from RNAcentral.
GACUGCCAAACUUAUCUUAGACACCAACAGGUUAAUUAGUUUCAAUUUGAUUAGCUUAUAGACUUAGAUUUGACCACUAAGCUAAAAUCAAUAUUCAUUUAGUCUAAUCAAAGAUAUGGACUUAACCAACUAUAACUAUUGUAUUUGAUCUAGGAUGUCCUUGACCUAAUCUAAAUAAACUUUUGGUUAGAUCCGAUCAACUACUCUUUUAGUCUAUUA